This 484-nucleotide ribosomal RNA is filed under the name uncultured bacterium. RNAcentral describes it as "partial 16S ribosomal RNA". It matches the Rfam family "Bacterial small subunit ribosomal RNA", at positions 28 to 523 of the family's 1533-position model. The record is from RNAcentral.
GACGAACGCUGGCGGCGUGCUUAACACAUGCAAGUCGAACGAUGAAGCUGGAGCUUGCUCCGGUGGAUUAGUGGCGAACGGGUGAGUAACACGUGAGCAAUCUGCCCUUGACUCUGGGAUAACUGCGGGAAACUGUAGCUAAUACCGGAUACUUUCACUGGAAGGCAUCUUCUGGUGAAGAAAGAAUUUCGGUCAAGGAUGAGCUCGCGGCCUAUCAGCUUGUUGGUGAGGUAACGGCUCACCAAGGCGACGACGGGUAGCCGGCCUGAGAGGGUGAGCGGCCACGCUGGGACUGAGACACGGCCCAGACUCCUACGGGAGGCAGCAGUGGGGAAUAUUGCACAAUGGGCGCAAGCCUGAUGCAGCAACGCCGCGUGAGGGAUGAAGGCCUUCGGGUUGUAAACCUCUUUUAGCAGGGAAGAAGCGAAAGUGACGGUACCUGCAAAAAAAGCACCGGCUAACUACGUGCCAGCCGCCGCCGUAA